CCUACGGGAGGCAGCAGUGAGGAAUAUUGGUCAAUGGUCGGGAGACUGAACCAGCCAAGCCGCGUGAGGGAUGAAGGUACAGAGUAUCGUAAACCUCUUUUGGCAGGGAACAAAGGCGGGGACGUGUCCCCGGAUGAGUGUACCUGAAGAAAAAGCAGCGGCUAACUCCGUGCCAGCAGCCGCGGUAAUACGGAGGAUGCGAGCGUUAUCCGGAUUUAUUGGGUUUAAAGGGUGCGCAGGCGGUCUGUUAAGUCAGCGGUCAAAGCCCGGGGCUCAACCCCGGGGCUGCCGUUGAAACCGGAGCGCUAGAAUGCCGAUGCCGUCGGAGGAAUGUGUGGUGUAGUGGUGAAAUGCAUAGAUAUCACACAGAACACCGAUUGCGAAGGCAUCUGACGAAUCGGAGAUUGACGCUGAUGCACGAAAGCGUGGGUAUCGAACAGGAUUAGAUACCCCAGUAGUC
Molecule: ribosomal RNA, 460 nt
Filed under: uncultured bacterium
Lineage: Bacteria
Description: partial 16S ribosomal RNA
Rfam family: Bacterial small subunit ribosomal RNA
Source: RNAcentral